RNAcentral lists this ribosomal RNA (1654 nucleotides) under Escherichia coli. RNAcentral describes it as "partial 23S ribosomal RNA". It matches the Rfam family "Bacterial large subunit ribosomal RNA", at positions 1291 to 2925 of the family's 2925-position model. The record is from RNAcentral. Lineage: Bacteria; Pseudomonadati; Pseudomonadota; Gammaproteobacteria; Enterobacterales; Enterobacteriaceae.
CGAAUGCUGACAUAAGUAACGAUAAAGCGGGUGAAAAGCCCGCUCGCCGGAAGACCAAGGGUUCCUGUCCAACGUUAAUCGGGGCAGGGUGAGUCGACCCCUAAGGCGAGGCCGAAAGGCGUAGUCGAUGGGAAACAGGUUAAUAUUCCUGUACUUGGUGUUACUGCGAAGGGGGGACGGAGAAGGCUAUGUUGGCCGGGCGACGGUUGUCCCGGUUUAAGCGUGUAGGCUGGUUUUCCAGGCAAAUCCGGAAAAUCAAGGCUGAGGCGUGAUGACGAGGCACUACGGUGCUGAAGCAACAAAUGCCCUGCUUCCAGGAAAAGCCUCUAAGCAUCAGGUAACAUCAAAUCGUACCCCAAACCGACACAGGUGGUCAGGUAGAGAAUACCAAGGCGCUUGAGAGAACUCGGGUGAAGGAACUAGGCAAAAUGGUGCCGUAACUUCGGGAGAAGGCACGCUGAUAUGUAGGUGAAGCGACUUGCUCGUGGAGCUGAAAUCAGUCGAAGAUACCAGCUGGCUGCAACUGUUUAUUAAAAACACAGCACUGUGCAAACACGAAAGUGGACGUAUACGGUGUGACGCCUGCCCGGUGCCGGAAGGUUAAUUGAUGGGGUUAGCGCAAGCGAAGCUCUUGAUCGAAGCCCCGGUAAACGGCGGCCGUAACUAUAACGGUCCUAAGGUAGCGAAAUUCCUUGUCGGGUAAGUUCCGACCUGCACGAAUGGCGUAAUGAUGGCCAGGCUGUCUCCACCCGAGACUCAGUGAAAUUGAACUCGCUGUGAAGAUGCAGUGUACCCGCGGCAAGACGGAAAGACCCCGUGAACCUUUACUAUAGCUUGACACUGAACAUUGAGCCUUGAUGUGUAGGAUAGGUGGGAGGCUUUGAAGUGUGGACGCCAGUCUGCAUGGAGCCGACCUUGAAAUACCACCCUUUAAUGUUUGAUGUUCUAACGUUGACCCGUGAUCCGGGUUGCGGACAGUGUCUGGUGGGUAGUUUGACUGGGGCGGUCUCCUCCUAAAGAGUAACGGAGGAGCACGAAGGUUGGCUAAUCCUGGUCGGACAUCAGGAGGUUAGUGCAAUGGCAUAAGCCAGCUUGACUGCGAGCGUGACGGCGCGAGCAGGUGCGAAAGCAGGUCAUAGUGAUCCGGUGGUUCUGAAUGGAAGGGCCAUCGCUCAACGGAUAAAAGGUACUCCGGGGAUAACAGGCUGAUACCGCCCAAGAGUUCAUAUCGACGGCGGUGUUUGGCACCUCGAUGUCGGCUCAUCACAUCCUGGGGCUGAAGUAGGUCCCAAGGGUAUGGCUGUUCGCCAUUUAAAGUGGUACGCGAGCUGGGUUUAGAACGUCGUGAGACAGUUCGGUCCCUAUCUGCCGUGGGCGCUGGAGAACUGAGGGGGGCUGCUCCUAGUACGAGAGGACCGGAGUGGACGCAUCACUGGUGUUCGGGUUGUCAUGCCAAUGGCACUGCCCGGUAGCUAAAUGCGGAAGAGAUAAGUGCUGAAAGCAUCUAAGCACGAAACUUGCCCCGAGAUGAGUUCUCCCUGACUCCUUGAGAGUCCUGAAGGAACGUUGAAGACGACGACGUUGAUAGGCCGGGUGUGUAAGCGCAGCGAUGCGUUGAGCUAACCGGUACUAAUGAACCGUGAGGCUUAACCUU